UACAGAGGGUGCAAGCGUUGUCCGGAAUCACUGGGCGUAAAGGGCGCGUAGGCGGCCUGAUAAGUCGGGGGGUGAAAUUCUGCGGCUUAACCGCAGGACGGCCUUCGAGACUGUCGGGCUUGAGCACGGUAGAGGCUGGUGGAAUUCCCGGUGUAGCGGUGGAAUGCGUAGAGAUCGGGAAGAACACCGGUGGCGAAGGCGGCAUCCUGGACCGGCAUUGACGCUGAGGAGCGAAAGCCAGGGGAGCAAACGGG
RNAcentral lists this ribosomal RNA (254 nucleotides) under uncultured bacterium. Its description in RNAcentral is "partial 16S ribosomal RNA". It matches the Rfam family "Bacterial small subunit ribosomal RNA", at positions 524 to 776 of the family's 1533-position model. The record is from RNAcentral.